Molecule: transfer RNA, 66 nt
Filed under: Tetraclita serrata
Lineage: Eukaryota; Metazoa; Arthropoda; Thecostraca; Balanomorpha; Tetraclitidae
Description: tRNA-Gly
Source: RNAcentral
GCUUAAUUAGUAUAUAAAGUAUUAUAGACUUCCAAUCUGUAGGACCAAUAAGUCAUGGAUUAAGCA